This is a non-coding RNA of Camellia sinensis, 331 nucleotides long. The record is from RefSeq and is a predicted model, not a curated record. NCBI's taxonomy places the organism in Eukaryota, Viridiplantae, Streptophyta, Magnoliopsida, Ericales, Theaceae.
GUGGCUGUUUUGGGCCAGUCACCACUGCCCUUUCAUUAUUCUCUUCAUCCUUCAUGUUUGAGCUUGCUGAAGAGGCAAAUAGGCUUGUGAACUAAGUGGAAGCUCUUGGUGAAAUAGUUGAACAACUGGGUAAAAAAGGCUGGAAUUUCAAUUUGAAACAUUAUGACAAAAACUUGAACUGGCAAACACCAAUAGUGGACUCCUCCCUUAUGUCUGACUGUACUGUCAAUUGCACCUGCCUUUCUGAUGAUGAAUGUCACAUCAGUGCCAUGUCAGAAAUUUCUUGGAGAGAUGCAAAAUAUGGUCAAAGAAUUCAAGAACUUACUUUUUU